This 774-nucleotide ribosomal RNA is filed under the name uncultured Neocallimastigales. Its description in RNAcentral is "partial large subunit ribosomal RNA". It matches the Rfam family "Eukaryotic large subunit ribosomal RNA", at positions 26 to 644 of the family's 3401-position model. The record is from RNAcentral. Lineage: Eukaryota; Fungi; Neocallimastigomycota; Neocallimastigomycetes; Neocallimastigales.
CGCAUCUGUGCAUGCAGCAUAUCAAUAAGCGGAGGAAAAGAAACUAACAAGGAUUCCCUUAGUAACGGCGAGUGAAGCGGGAAGAGCUCAAAUUUGAAAUCUUCAAGGUUUUACCUUGACGAAUUGUAGUUUAAAGAAGUGUUUUCUGUUGAAGUUUUGGUAAAAGUUCUUUGGAAUAGGACAUCAUAGAGGGUGAGAAUCCCGUAUUUGACCAUUAUUUUCAGCUGUGUGAUACACUUUCAAAGAGUCGGAUUGUUUGGGGAUGCAGUCCAAAAUGGGUGGUAAAUUUCAUCUAAAGCUAAAUAUUGGCGAGAGACCGAUAGCGAACAAGUACCGUGAGGGAAAGAUGAAAAGAACUUUGAAAAGAGAGUUAAACAGUACGUGAAAUUGUCAAAAGGGAAGCGUUUGACACCAGUGUUGUUUUCUCGAAAAUCAAUUAAAAAGAGUUAGAUUUUGUUGUGUAUUGACCUUAACAGCUUGCAUUUCAAUUUUCUUGCUUUUUUUAAUGCACUUUUCGUUUAACAAGUCAACAUCAGUUUCUUUUGUUGUAAAAAGGUCAUUGGAAGGUGGCUUUCUUUUCGGAGAAAGUGUUUAUAGCCUUUGACUCCUGCAAUCGGAGAGACUGAGGUCUGCAGCGUAGAUCCUUCGGGGUUAGAUACAUUUGUGCUAAGUUAUAGCUUUUUAUAGACAACUUGUUGACUAUGAUUAGUCUUGUAGCUUACUCGCUUAUGCUAUUUUACCUACGCUUAGGAUGUUGACACACGCGCGUGCUCG